GAUCGUCCAAGUAUGCGAUG
This 20-nucleotide unclassified non-coding RNA is filed under the name Dictyostelium discoideum. The record is from RNAcentral. Lineage: Eukaryota; Evosea; Eumycetozoa; Dictyosteliales; Dictyosteliaceae.